RNAcentral lists this ribosomal RNA (404 nucleotides) under uncultured bacterium. RNAcentral describes it as "bacterial SSU rRNA". It matches the Rfam family "Bacterial small subunit ribosomal RNA", at positions 355 to 774 of the family's 1533-position model. The record is from RNAcentral.
CUAAGAAUCUUGCGCAAUGGGCGAAAGCCUGACGCAGCAAUUCCGCGUGGGGGACGAAGGCCCUCGGGUCGUAAACCCCUUUUGUGAGGGAAGAAGUUCUGACGGUACCUCACGAAUAAGACACGGCUAACUACGUGCCAGCAGCCGCGGUAAUACGUAGGUGUCGAGCGUUGUCCGGAUUUAUUGGGCGUAAAGAGCCCGCAGGCGGCUUGGUAAGUUCGAGGUGAAAUCUCCCGGCUCAACUGGGAGGGUGCCUCGAAAACUAUCAGGCUUGAGGCAGGGAGAGGGAUGUGGAAUUCCCGGUGUAGUGGUGAAAUGCGUAGAUAUCGGGAGGAACACCAGUGGCGAAGGCGGCAUCCUGGCCCUGUCCUGACGCUCAGGGCCGAAAGCGUGGGGAGCAAACC